RNAcentral lists this ribosomal RNA (254 nucleotides) under uncultured prokaryote. RNAcentral's name for it is "partial 16S ribosomal RNA". It matches the Rfam family "Bacterial small subunit ribosomal RNA", at positions 524 to 777 of the family's 1533-position model. The record is from RNAcentral.
UACGAAGGGGGCUAGCGUUGCUCGGAAUCACUGGGCGUAAAGCGCACGUAGGCGGGUCCUUAAGUCGGGGGUGAAAUCCUGGAGCUCAACUCCAGAACUGCCUUCGAUACUGAGGAUCUCGAGUCCGGGAGAGGUGAGUGGAACUCCGAGUGUAGAGGUGAAAUUCGUAGAUAUUCGGAAGAACACCAGUGGCGAAGGCGGCUCACUGGCCCGGUACUGACGCUGAGGUGCGAAAGCGUGGGGAGCAAACAGGA